Molecule: ribosomal RNA, 307 nt
Filed under: uncultured bacterium
Lineage: Bacteria
Description: partial 16S ribosomal RNA
Rfam family: Bacterial small subunit ribosomal RNA
Source: RNAcentral
AGACAGCAGUAGCCGCGGGAAUACGUAGGUGGCAAGCGUUAUCCGGAAUUAUUGGGCGUAAAGCGCGCGUAGGCGGUUUUUUAAGUCUGAUGUGAAAGCCCACGGCUCAACCGUGGAGGGUCAUUGGAAACUGGAAAACUUGAGUGCAGAAGAGGAAAGUGGAAUUCCAUGUGUAGCGGUGAAAUGCGCAGAGAUAUGGAGGAACACCAGUGGCGAAGGCGACUUUCUGGUCUGUAACUGACGCUGAUGUGCGAAAGCGUGGGGAUCAAACAGGAUUAGAUACCCCUGUAGUCCCUGUCUCUUAUAC